GCAAGUCGAGGGAGGAGCCUUCGGGCUUCGACCGGCGUACGGGUGCGUAACGCGUAUACAAUCUGCCUUUCACAUAGGGAUAGCCCGAAGAAAUUUGGAUUAAUACCUAAUGGUAUAUAGGGGUGGCAUCACCUUUAUAUUAAAGCUGAGGCGGUGAAACAUGAGUAUGCGUUCUAUUAGCUAGUUUGAGAGGUAACGGCUCCCCAAGGCGACUAUAGAUAGGGGUUCUGAGAGGGAUAUC
Molecule: ribosomal RNA, 241 nt
Filed under: uncultured bacterium
Lineage: Bacteria
Description: partial 16S ribosomal RNA
Rfam family: Bacterial small subunit ribosomal RNA
Source: RNAcentral